This 432-nucleotide ribosomal RNA is filed under the name uncultured Anaerococcus sp. Its description in RNAcentral is "partial 16S ribosomal RNA". It matches the Rfam family "Bacterial small subunit ribosomal RNA", at positions 341 to 792 of the family's 1533-position model. Lineage: Bacteria; Bacillati; Bacillota; Tissierellia; Tissierellales; Peptoniphilaceae. The record is from RNAcentral.
ACGGGAGGCAGCAGUGGGGAAUUUUGCACAAUGGGGGAAACCCUGAUGCAGCGACGCCGCGUGAUUUAGAAGGCCUUCGGGUUGUAAGAAUCUUUUGUACAGGAAGAAAAUGACAGUACUGUACGAAUAAGGUCCGGCUAAUUACGUGCCAGCAGCCGCGGUAAUACGUAAGGACCGAGCGUUGUCCGGAAUCAUUGGGCGUAAAGGGUACGUAGGCGGUUUAUUAAGUUAGAAGUGAAAGGCUAUAGCUCAACUAUAGUAAGCUUUUAAAACUGAUAGACUUGAGAGAUUGAGGGGAAAGUGGAAUUCCUAGUGUAGCGGUGAAAUGCGCAGAUAUUAGGAGGAAUACCAGUGGCGAAGGCGACUUUCUGGCAAUCAUCUGACGCUGAGGUACGAAAGCGUGGGUAGCAAACAGGAUUAGAUACCCUGGUA